This is a transfer RNA of Camelus ferus (Wild Bactrian camel), 72 nucleotides long. It matches the Rfam family "tRNA". Rfam says of the family: Transfer RNA (tRNA) molecules are approximately 80 nucleotides in length. Their secondary structure includes four short double-helical elements and three loops (D, anti-codon, and T loops). Further hydrogen bonds mediate the characteristic L-shaped molecular structure. tRNAs have two regions of fundamental functional importance: the anti-codon, which is responsible for specific mRNA codon recognition, and the 3' end, to which the tRNAs corresponding amino acid is attached (by aminoacyl-tRNA synthetases). tRNAs cope with the degeneracy of the genetic code in two manners: having more than one tRNA (with a specific anti-codon) for a particular amino acid; and 'wobble' base-pairing, i.e. permitting non-standard base-pairing at the 3rd anti-codon position. The record is from Rfam. NCBI's taxonomy places the organism in Eukaryota, Metazoa, Chordata, Mammalia, Artiodactyla, Camelidae.
AGGGAAAUAGCUCAGGGGUAGAGCACGUGCUUAGCAUGCAUGAGGUCCUGGGUUCAAUCCCCAGUGCCUCCG